Molecule: long non-coding RNA, 2202 nt
Organism: Onychomys torridus (southern grasshopper mouse)
Lineage: Eukaryota; Metazoa; Chordata; Mammalia; Rodentia; Cricetidae
Exons: 3
Source: RefSeq, a predicted model, not a curated record
GAGAGGGGGAAGUGAGGGCUAAGUGGGGAGCGCUCGUUAAAUGAAGAAUAAAAAGAACGACUCGGAACAGAAGAAAGGGAGAAAGAAAAGGGAAAAAAAUUCAGCCACAGUCAAGUGACACAGAAGUGUUCUCUGUGCCCUGCCCCUCACCUGCCCUUCUGUUCCGGCUCUGGAGGAGAGGCACCCCGACGGCCUGGACUCAGCUCACACCUGCCGCGGGUGCCCAGGGACCGGGCUCCACAGCAUGCAGCAAUCCCGCUCCCCGCGGAGCUUUGCUCCACCCGAGGGGCUGCCCAGCCCAGCUUCAGUCUGCGGAAAUGGAGGACCUCCUCGGCUCUGCGGAAAGUGCUGCUUUUCCUGCUCAGUCCCCUAAGGGGCGUGUCUCCGCAAGGUCCUGUGCUCAGUCCCCCUAAGGGGCGUGUCUCCGCAAGGUCCUUGUGCUCAGUCCCCUAAGGGGCGCGUCUCCGCAAGGUCCUUGUGCUCAGUCCCCUAAGGGGCGCGUCUCCGCAAGGUCCUUGUGCUCAGUCCCCUAAGGGGUGUCUCAGCAAGGUCCUUGUGCUCAGUCCCCUAAGGCGCGUCUCCGCAAGGUUCUUCUGUUCCGCUCCGCUGCACAGGUGAACAAAGAUCUUCACCCAGGGGCCCGGCUGCCCCUGCCAGGGCGGGAAAGCAGAGCCCAGGACUGGACAGGCAGACGGGCUUAGCUGGGGCUCUUAGGGGCGGAGCUUCUCCAGGGAGAAGAGUCCUGCUCAGGGAUUGGUUGGUGUCCUUGUCAGGGCAGAGAUGGCUCUGGGGUCAGGGUGGGUUUCUCUCACUGGCCCCUUUUCCCUGCACCUUCCCUCCUCACCAGAGGCUCCACGAGGGGGCGCAGUUUCUCCAGGGUGAUGGUGUACUUCUACCCCAUGAUGUCAGCAGCCGCGUUCCAUGUCAGAGGCUUCCUCCUGGCACCAAGGGUCAGGACUGAAACCGUCCAGCCAGUGGGUGGAGAACUAGAUUGAUUGCCGCUGUGCCUGUCAAUCAAUGUCCUGAAGACAGGCCCACACAUGCAACUUCCCGUCCCUCAGUGUGACGUCAGCCUCCAGCCUGCCAUCUUCAUGUUCACUGGCUGACAUCUGAUCGCUUCCACUGACAAGACCAGAAACUUGGCCUGUCCAUCGUCGCCCUGAAGACGGGACAAAGUCCGAACGCACUGGACAGGUCUACCCUUCACACCAGUCUAGCCUCGGCUCCGUCCUGAUGACAUCCCCCUGGAGGCGCCCAGUCUCACCAUCAGUCAGUCAACAAACACUGACCUCCAUCUCACCCUCCUGGAGGGCUGCGCAAGCCUCUGGUGUGGUGCGUGAUGGUCAGAAUCAUGCAGGGCAGGGCUGACCUGAGCACGCCAGAGGCAAAGCCCACAUCAUGGCUGACCCCUGACCCCUGGACCCAGAGGCCUCCCUAGAAGAUCUGACCUGGCGAGGGGGGGAUUCUGGGAGGAGGCAAGACUCACUGGUCCUACAUGGCCCGCCAAGCUCUGUUGGUCCAUCCGUCUGUCUGUCCCAGGUUCCAACAGGCCUGGUGCCCCACAGUCCAUCACAUUGGCCCAGACCAGAAGUCCAGAGCCACUUGUCAAUCACCUGCUGCCCAUGGCUUCAGCUUCCCCUUUCUGCUGUCAAUCAAUCCCCUAGCCAGCCAGACUGAGUGGGUCACAUGACCCUCAGGGACCCUUCCUGGGAUGCCCCUGGGUGUCCAGCUUGCCAAGCCUGUGAGACCUGAGUCAUCCCCCUGUCUCGCUUGGAAUCAUGUGACUGAGAGUAUGAUGUCACAAACACACCCACACCCGGGUGACAGGAUGACCUCACAGUCAUGCCCCCCAGGUGAUGUCCUGGACACACCCACCCCAUGUGACUGACACGGUGACAUCACAAAAGAUACCCUCAUGUUGCUCACAGGACAUCCUGGUCAGCCCCUCCCACCCCAGCUGUGACGUUUCCUGAUACUGCCCCUCACAGGCGCAAGGCCAGACACAUGACAGUGACGUCAUGCUGAUGUUAUUUUCUGAUUUAAUAAAAAAAACAAACAAACAAAAAAAACAAGAAAGAAAAACAGCUUUAGAUUUGAAACUACUUCCGGGUGUGGUGGAGCUGCCCACGUGCUCCUGCAGUGUGGGCAGAACUUCCUGUUGACGUCACAGCCUAGUUGGCCUCCUCGGUCUGCAACAGUAAG